AUUGAACGCUGGCGGAAUGCUUAACACAUGCAAGUCGAGCGGGCUGUAGCAAUACAGCUAGCGGCGGACGGGUGAGGAACACAUAGGAAUCUGCCUCGAAGUGGGGGAUAGCCCGGGGAAACCCGGAUUAAUACCGCAUGAUGUCGCAAGACCAAAGCAGGGGACCGUAAGGCCUUGCACUUUGAGAUGAGCCUAUGUCGGAUUAGCUAGUUGGCGGGGUAAAGGCCCACCAAGGCGACGAUCCGUAGCUGGUCUGAGAGGACGAUCAGCCACACCGGAACUGAGACACGGUCCGGACUCCUACGGGAGGCAGCAGUGGGGAAUAUUGGACAAUGGGCGCAAGCCUGAUCCAGCAAUUCCGCGUGUGUGAAGAAGGCCUGGUGUAAG
RNAcentral lists this ribosomal RNA (387 nucleotides) under uncultured bacterium. Its description in RNAcentral is "bacterial SSU rRNA". It matches the Rfam family "Bacterial small subunit ribosomal RNA", at positions 30 to 429 of the family's 1533-position model. The record is from RNAcentral.